This 311-nucleotide long non-coding RNA is filed under the name Homo sapiens (human). RNAcentral describes it as "HSALNT0220291". The record is from RNAcentral. Lineage: Eukaryota; Metazoa; Chordata; Mammalia; Primates; Hominidae.
ACCGUGAAGGGGACAUCCCCGACGCUGCCCACGGAGUAGCAGUUGUCUCCAGGGUUGACAGCUCCGGUGAGGACCUGAUGCAGAUGCAUCUCCGGAGCCCGGGCUGGACAGAAUGCGCGGGAGGUGCGACAAGCUCCGCGCCUGACCCUCCUCGGGCUGCGAGAGCCGUUUCCCUCUGUGCCUCCCUCGGAAACCCGCCCCGCGGAGGCUCUGGCUUAACUCCUCGCCCCCCUUUCGCCUUCCCUCCGCCUCGUCCCUGCCAUGGGAGCUCCUCGACCGCCGCCGCCGCCCGGGUCGCCGCUCAGCUGCGG